Long non-coding RNA from Labeo rohita (rohu), 1193 nucleotides. RefSeq lists it as uncharacterized. NCBI's taxonomy places the organism in Eukaryota, Metazoa, Chordata, Actinopteri, Cypriniformes, Cyprinidae. The record is from RefSeq and is a predicted model, not a curated record. The transcript is spliced from 4 exons.
UCCCAGUUGCGAACCCUUUUUAUGCUAAGAGUUAUACCGUGUGGAUUUGCUGUGGCAUCUUUACACUCUAAAUAUAUAGUGGCAUUAAGUUCUCUGUUAGUAGAAUUUGUAACCCACAGGUGUACAUAUUACAUCAGUGGGUUUUAUUCGGACUGCUCAGGUCUGGAGAGUUUCACUGAUGUAUUGGACUACAUCCAGAUUUCCAGCGCUGGAGGUCUGUGGUAAACCUCCCACUGUUGGCAGCGGCCUGACCCGGCCGAGGCAGCGGAUGGGGUGGGCGUUAAAUCUAAGGCCCCUAUGGAGAGGACGGGAGUCCAGGUGUUUCCCUGCUUUGAUGGUUGCUGGAAAACUCUUUAUACCCUCCGUAAUCUCACUAAGCACCAAUUCAGCCUCCUCGUUCUGUUCAACAAGACUGUGAAUCCACAAAAAUGUCGUUUUGCUGCAGCUGCUUCACGACAAUUGUAGUUUCCUCCGAAGUUCUGUUCCUGCACAUGAGAAAGUGCGCAGUCGAAGAGGUUAAGAAGAAGAAACAGAAUCUCUCAAGCGAGCGCGGCCAACAAUUCGUUCUGUGUAACUCUACCUUUACAACGACUACUCUUCAGACAGGAGGGGAGGAGAUGUGAGGGGUGUGAUGAGGUCAAUCCCCUGGUGCCUGAAAAAUCAUGAAGAAAAUAUGGACUCUUGGCACACGCUACAGCAUUUCCUAUAAAGAUUUUGGACUGUGGAGGUAUAACACAAUGAUAAAUAUGACAGGUGAAGUCUUGCUUAUUUUUUGCUCAGAAAUUUUAAUCAUUUUGUAACGUUUUAUUAGACUUUAGAAUUUAUUAGAUUUCGUAAGAAGUCAUGAAAAGAGUUUUUGUAAUCAUUUGCAUGUAUCAAAUUUUAUUUAUACAACAAUGUGUAAAACUAAUGCAAAAGUUUUAAUCUUUACAAUAAUUAUAGUUAGAAAGCUUUAUUACAUGACUUCACGACUUAAAUACUUAAAUGUGUUAAAUUUGUCAAAUUGUAGAGACAUUUAUUUAAGGGGAGCCAACAAUGUCUGAAAAUGACGUAAAAGAUUUCACAUUUCUGCCUUCAGAGUGUAAUAAAAGUUGGACAAUUAUGCUAAAUGAAUAACUGUAUGACUGGAGUGUAUACAUAGAUGACAGAAUGUUCUUGAAUGUUUUCCUCAUGAUAACCUCUUGUCUUUUCCA